Molecule: ribosomal RNA, 886 nt
Filed under: uncultured bacterium
Lineage: Bacteria
Description: bacterial SSU rRNA
Rfam family: Bacterial small subunit ribosomal RNA
Source: RNAcentral
CCUUCGGGGUACUCGAGUGGCGAACGGGUGAGUACACGUGGGUGAUCUGCCCUGCACUUUGGGAUAAGCCUGGGAAACUGGGUCUAAUACCGAAUAGGACNANNNNCUUCAUGGUGNGNNNUGGAAAGCUUUUGCGGUGUGGGAUGGGCCCGCGGCCUAUCAGCUUGUUGGUGGGGUAAUGGCCUACCAAGGCGACGACGGGUAGCCGGCCUGAGAGGGUGACCGGCCACACUGGGACUGAGGUACGGCCCAGACUCCUACGGGAGGCAGCAGUGGGGAAUAUUGCACAAUGGGCGCAAGCCUGAUGCAGCGACGCCGCGUGAGGGAUGACGGCCUUCGGGUUGUAAACCUCUUUCAAUAGGGACGAAGCGCAAGUGACGGUACCUAUAGAAGAAGCACCGGCCAACUACGUGCCAGCAGCCGCGGUAAUACGUAGGGUGCGAGCGUUGUCCGGAAUUACUGGGCGUAAAGAGCUCGUAGGUGGUUUGUCGCGUUGUUCGUGAAAACUCACAGCUUAACUGUGGGCGUGCGGGCGAUACGGGCAGACUAGAGUACUGCAGGGGAGACUGAAAUUCCUGGUGUAGCGGUGGAAUGCGCAGAUAUCAGGAGGAACACCGGUGGCGAAGGCGGGUCUCUGGGUAGUAACUGACGCUGAGGAGCGAAAGCGUGGGGAGCGAACAGGAUUAGAUACCCUGGUAGUCCACGCCGUAAACGGUGGGUACUAGGUGUGGGUUCCUUCCUUGGGAUCCGUGCCGUAGCUAACGCAUUAAGUACCCCGCCUGGGGAGUACGGCCGCAAGGCUAAAACUCAAAGGAAUUGACGGGGGCCCGCACAAGCGGCGGAGCAUGUGGAUUAAUUCGAUGNCACGCGAAGAACCUUACCUGGG